RNAcentral lists this ribosomal RNA (115 nucleotides) under uncultured bacterium. Its description in RNAcentral is "partial 16S ribosomal RNA". It matches the Rfam family "Bacterial small subunit ribosomal RNA", at positions 1359 to 1482 of the family's 1533-position model. The record is from RNAcentral.
CCGGUGAAUACGUUCCCGGGCCUUGUACACACCGCCCGUCAAGCCAUGGAAGCUGGGGGUACCUGAAGUCGGUGACCGUAAGGAGCUGCCUAGGGUAAAACUGGUAACUAGGGCU